GAGGAGGGUACCCCGCCGGAAGCCCCCUGCUCUGUGGGAACCGGAGGGAGGACAGCGCGAGGUCCCCGGACAAAGCGUGGCGCAUAAGUCCGGCCCGUAACUUGGUGGGCAGGCAACUUAGGGGAUGUGGGCCUGGUUAUAGCUGAGCAUGCUUUUCUAUUCCUCCCAGACCACAGUUCUUCAGACCUGGAGCCACUUUCAGAGAAGAGUAUAAGUUGCACUGAAUUGAAAAAGGGAAAAGUUUAGGACUGCAGAAGAUGGAAUUCCUGGGGACGUUAAACUGGGCUAAGAUGGAGCAGAUAAGAUUUCCUUAAUUAGAGCAAGACACACCUAGUAUCUAGAGCCUGGAAGUCUUGGUCAAGGAUUCUCCCUAACAUCUCAGUUUCUCAGCACUAACAUUCCUGCUACUAAAAUGAAGUGAGAAAUUAAUUUCUGAAGUUAAGUAAAGAAAUAAACUAAAAUUCCUAGAAAAGAGGUAAGAAGAAUGAGCCUUUGAAAAAUGUCUUCACAAAGACUGGCAUGAUGGCAUGGAAGAAAGAGCCCCAGAUAUCCAGUAUACAUCUCAAGGUCAACUUGUCCAAAACAGAGCUACUGAUGAUUUUCCCCUUGAAAUCUACUCUUCCUACAGCUUAUUCAUCUCAAAUACUGAAUUUUGGCAAUGGUGACCCUGCCUCAAUCAUGCAAAAGAGAUGAAUGUCCUUGCAAAUGACAAAGGACUAAGAUGGAAGGAGUUUGGAUCUGUGAAUCACUACAUGGAGAAAAGCCAUCUGCUGACCUAGAAACUUACUCUGGAUGAGAUGAGAAAUGAAUUUAUUGUUCUUUAAGAUGCUGAAUUUUGGAGGUUUAUUUUUUCUAUCCACAUAGCCACCGUUAUUAACAUGGGGUGGGAGUCAGAGAGUGACACUAGAAACAGGACUAUUUUAAUAAACCAGGUAAGAGAUGAUGAAUACUGGCCAGGCACAGUGGCUCACGCCUGUAAUCCCAGCACUU
This 990-nucleotide long non-coding RNA is filed under the name Homo sapiens (human). Its description in RNAcentral is "HSALNT0354069". Lineage: Eukaryota; Metazoa; Chordata; Mammalia; Primates; Hominidae. The record is from RNAcentral.